AUAAUAAUUUAAGAUGUAAAAGCCAGCUUACAUAACACAAUUAUUUUUACCGUUUUGUAAUUAAGUUGUAAUAAUUGCUAAAAGAAAAUUGCAAAGGAAGUAGGAAUAAUAACUGUAACAUAACUUCUCAGGCCUGUUUCACCAGUUGUGGAUAAAUGCUAUUUGACGGAUGACGAUAAAUAUAGACUAUUUAUAACAGCGGAGGUAAAUAGGCCAAACAGUAAGACCUAUUUCUCCUCAAUUAAUAAAUUGGAAGAUUAAUAUAACUAUGCGAAUAGAAAAAUAUAUAUAUUAGCAUUUAUUUAUAGGC
Molecule: long non-coding RNA, 310 nt
Organism: Melitaea cinxia (Glanville fritillary)
Lineage: Eukaryota; Metazoa; Arthropoda; Insecta; Lepidoptera; Nymphalidae
Exons: 2
Source: RefSeq, a predicted model, not a curated record